CCCGGUCGUACUCAUAAC
This 18-nucleotide small nuclear RNA is filed under the name Arabidopsis thaliana (thale cress). RNAcentral describes it as "snRNA_03721". The record is from RNAcentral. Lineage: Eukaryota; Viridiplantae; Streptophyta; Magnoliopsida; Brassicales; Brassicaceae.